This 160-nucleotide unclassified non-coding RNA is filed under the name soil metagenome. RNAcentral's name for it is "partial internal transcribed spacer 1". The record is from RNAcentral.
AGAGACGUUGCCCUUCGGGGUAUACCUCCCACCCUUUGUUUAUUAUACCUUUGUUGCUUUGGCGGGCCCGUCCUCGGACCACCGGCCUUCUGCUGGUCAGUGCCCGCCAGAGGACCUAAAACUCUGUUUGUUAAUAUUGUCUGAGUACUAUAUAAUAGUU